GUGGUGUCACAAAAUCGGAGGCCACGACUGUUUACUAAAAACACAAUUCAGAGCAAUGAUGAAAAUCAUAGUAUUCUGGAUGAAAUUUGCCCGAUGCCAUUAACAUAAAAGAGGUAAUGGGUAACUGUUACUAAUUGAAAGUCUGGUUAAUAGCGGUCUUAACUAUGAGGAUCCUAAGGUAGCAAAAUCAGUUGGCCAUUAAAUGUGGUCUGGUAUCAAUAGUGUAACGAUGGUCUCACUGUCUCUACAACUUGCUCAGUGAAAUUGAAUUAUCCGUGCAGAUGCGGAUUGCCUCCAGGNGGACGGG
This 307-nucleotide ribosomal RNA is filed under the name Boletopsis subsquamosa. RNAcentral describes it as "LSU rRNA". It matches the Rfam family "Bacterial large subunit ribosomal RNA", at positions 1773 to 2084 of the family's 2925-position model. The record is from RNAcentral. Lineage: Eukaryota; Fungi; Basidiomycota; Agaricomycetes; Thelephorales; Thelephoraceae.